RNAcentral lists this ribosomal RNA (464 nucleotides) under uncultured bacterium. RNAcentral describes it as "partial 16S ribosomal RNA". It matches the Rfam family "Bacterial small subunit ribosomal RNA", at positions 28 to 506 of the family's 1533-position model. The record is from RNAcentral.
GACGAACGCUGGCGGCGUGCUUAACACAUGCAAGUCGAACGGAAAGGCCCUGCUUGCAGGGUACUCGAGUGGCGAACGGGUGAGUAACACGUGGGUGAUCUGCCCUGCACUUCGGGAUAAGCCUGGGAAACUGGGUCUAAUACCGGAUAGGAGCCAUUUUUAGUGUGAUGGUUGGAAAGUUUUUUCGGUGUAGGAUGAGCUCGCGGCCUAUCAGCUUGUUGGUGGGGUAAUGGCCUACCAAGGCGGCGACGGGUAGCCGGCCUGAGAGGGUGGACGGCCACAUUGGGACUGAGAUACGGCCCAGACUCCUACGGGAGGCAGCAGUGGGGAAUAUUGCACAAUGGGCGCAAGCCUGAUGCAGCGACGCCGCGUGGGGGAUGACGGCCUUCGGGUUGUAAACUCCUUUCGCUAGGGACGAAGCUUUUUGUGACGGGACCUAGAUAAGAAGCACCGGCUAACUACGU